GUGAGGAAUAUUGGUCAAUGGGCGGAAGCCUGAACCAGCCAUCUCGCGUGCAGGAAGACGGCCCUAUGGGUUGUAAACUGCUUUUCCAGGGGGCGAAACUUUCCGAUGUAUCGGGAUUUGACGGUACCCUGGGAAUAAGCAUCGGCUAACUCCGUGCCAGCAGCCGCGGUAAUACGGAGGAUGCGAGCGUUAUCCGGAUUUAUUGGGUUUAAAGGGUGCGUAGGCGGAUCGAUAAGUCAGUGGUGAAACCCUGCAGCUUAACUGUAGACUUGCCGUUGAAACUGUUGGUCUUGAGUGUGGUCAAGGUAGGCGGAAUGUGUAAUGUAGCGGUGAAAUGCUUAGAUAUUACACAGAACACCGAUUGCGAAGGCAGCUUACUGGGCCAUUACUGACGCUGAUGCACGAAAGCGUGGGGAUCGAACAGGAUUAGAUACCCCUGUAGUCC
This 445-nucleotide ribosomal RNA is filed under the name uncultured bacterium. RNAcentral describes it as "partial 16S ribosomal RNA". It matches the Rfam family "Bacterial small subunit ribosomal RNA", at positions 354 to 796 of the family's 1533-position model. The record is from RNAcentral.